AGGCAGCAGUGGGGAAUAUUGGACAAUGGGCGCAAGCCUGAUCCAGCCAUGCCGCGUGCAGGAAGACGGCCCUAUGGGUUGUAAACUGCUUUUAUACGGGAAGAAACACCCCCUCGUGAGGGGGCUUGACGGUACCGUAGGAAUAAGGAUCGGCUAACUCCGUGCCAGCAGCCGCGGU
Molecule: ribosomal RNA, 178 nt
Filed under: uncultured Flavobacteriaceae bacterium
Lineage: Bacteria; Pseudomonadati; Bacteroidota; Flavobacteriia; Flavobacteriales; Flavobacteriaceae
Description: partial 16S ribosomal RNA
Rfam family: Bacterial small subunit ribosomal RNA
Source: RNAcentral